UCUUAUCCAAUAAUGUUCGUGUUUUUUUUCAUGUAUCUAUUUUUUUGUGUGAUACAAUUGCAGGAGCUAUGGUUUUUUGUUGUAGGUAGUUUAAUGAUUAUAAUGGUUGCCAUUGGUGUUCUUCUCAAGGGGUAAAAGUUAAAAAAAGGUAGGAGGUCUUGUAUGACUUAUCCAUUUUCUGAUGUUAAUGGGAGUUGUAGAAACCAUACAGAUUUUUUUUUGGAUUAAUGUGAUUAAAGGGUUUUUAGAUUUUUCUACAUUUGUAAGAGUACCUAAUUUUAAUUGUGAAAAUGAAACAGUUGUUAAUAAUCUGCACUGUAUUGAGCUUGGUGUUAUGAAAGCUAUGUUUUCUUUCUGAUUUGAUAGUUAUUAUUCUGGUUAUAUUUUUUCUAUUAGAAGACACUGUACUGUUGUAAAUAAUCUUUUAUCUGCAAUCAGUGUGCCAAGCAAUAUAAGACAGACUCGAUGAUCAAUAAGUUGUAUAAAGCAUUGGAAAGGAUAAAAGUGAUAAAAUGCUAUUGGUUGGAAAUUGAUAAAUUAAUAAAAAAUGAUUGAUUCUAAUUGCGCGAAAAUAUGUUGAUUUUGGAUACUGCCUCUACCAUUAACAAAUUAAAAAUAAAAGAAGCACUUCAUAUUAAAUGGGAAAAUCCUAAAUAUAAAUUUAUCUAACUAACUUACUACAUUAUUAUUGUUAUUUUAAUAUUAGGAGCUCUAAAGACCCAAACCGAAAAGAAUGCCUAAAGUGGUUUUCAAAAGAUGAAUUGACGAAUUUCUUAAUUCUUUUUGUUUCGUUGUGAUAAUUUGUCGUAUGAGAACGCUAACGAGAAAAAACUUUUUAAAUAUAGAAACAUGCGUAAUAUAAAGUUUACUUAUGCCUAUAAAAAAAUAUGUUUUACAUUAAUUAAUAAAUUAACUUUUUAGUUUCUUGUUAAAAAUUGUAUUCUGUAUUGAAGUUUAUUUCUGAGAAUUUGUAAUUAUACCUAAGAUAAUCUAAUCCUACAUUGUAUUUUAAUUUAUAAAACUCGAUAUUUUAAAAUAAAUAUAUUACUUUUUUAUCGCG
Molecule: long non-coding RNA, 1060 nt
Organism: Hydra vulgaris (swiftwater hydra)
Lineage: Eukaryota; Metazoa; Cnidaria; Hydrozoa; Anthoathecata; Hydridae
Source: RefSeq, a predicted model, not a curated record